Molecule: non-coding RNA, 106 nt
Organism: Corynascus novoguineensis
Lineage: Eukaryota; Fungi; Ascomycota; Sordariomycetes; Sordariales; Chaetomiaceae
Source: the annotation of a GenBank genome assembly
GCCCGGUUAGCUCAGCUGGUUAGAGCGUCGUACUAAUAUUGUGGACUUUCACAGUCUGCUAUAUCAUGUCAUGCGAAGGUCAACAGUUCAAUCCUGUUACUGGGCA